GGGGCAGCACUCCAGACAAAAGGGCACCGGGUCCGGGAGGGACACAGGGGCCAGCGACAGGUGGAUCACCAGAAGGCGCUCCGGAGGCUGAUGAGCUAAUUCCCAAGGACAACCAGCAGGAGGUGCCGCUGGACUAUCCACACUCUCAAACCUCAGAGCCCUGGAAGCAUAGAGGUGAGUGGGGUUUUUUUAUUUUUGGCCAAUUACCUCCCCUUAUUUCAGUAUUAAUUUAAUAUGCAUUGUGCCUCCCGCUCUCUGAACAUGUUGAAGUCCAGCUAGGAGUUUCUCAUAAUCUUCUAUGCUUUGUAUUUUUUACUUACAAACAGUUUAGAGAUAACAGACUU
Dermochelys coriacea (leatherback sea turtle) is the source of this 344-nucleotide long non-coding RNA. RefSeq lists it as uncharacterized. NCBI's taxonomy places the organism in Eukaryota, Metazoa, Chordata, Testudines, Dermochelyidae. The record is from RefSeq and is a predicted model, not a curated record. The transcript has 2 exons.